GGCUCUGUGGCGCAAUGGAUAGUGCAUUGGACUUCUAGGCUGUGAGCUGAGCCGUUCAAAGGUUGUGGGUUCUAGUUCCACCAGAGUCG
Danio rerio (zebrafish) is the source of this 89-nucleotide non-coding RNA. Lineage: Eukaryota; Metazoa; Chordata; Actinopteri; Cypriniformes; Danionidae. The record is from Rfam.